AGUGAACGCUGGCGGCAGGCCUAACACAUGCAAGUCGAACGGAUCCUUCGGGAUUAGUGGCGGACGGGUGGGUAACACGUGGGAACGUGCCCUUUGGUUCGGAACAACUCAGGGAAACUUGAGCUAAUACCGGAUGUGCCCUUCGGGGGAAAGAUUUAUCGCCAUUGGAGCGGCCCGCGUCUGAUUAGCUAGUUGGUGAGGUAAAGGCUCACCAAGGCGACGAUCAGUAGCUGGUCUGAGAGGAUGAUCAGCCACAUUGGGACUGAGACACGGCCCAAACUCCUACGGGAGGCAGCAGUGGGGAAUUUUGCGCAAUGGGCGAAAGCCUGACGCAGCCAUGCCGCGUGAAUGAUGAAGGUCUUAGGAUUGUAAAAUUCUUUCACCGGGGACGAUAAUGACGGUACCCGGAGAAGAAGCCCCGGCUAACUUCGUGCCAGCCGCCGCAGUAA
RNAcentral lists this ribosomal RNA (449 nucleotides) under uncultured bacterium. RNAcentral's name for it is "partial 16S ribosomal RNA". It matches the Rfam family "Bacterial small subunit ribosomal RNA", at positions 29 to 523 of the family's 1533-position model. The record is from RNAcentral.